AGAUGGCAGGAGGCGGAGGUUGCAAUGAGCUGACAUUAUGCCACUGCACUCCAGCCUGGGCAACAGAGGGAAGACCCUGUCUCAAAAAAAAAAAAAAAAGUACAGAAAUGCAGAUGAAAUAAGGAGCACAGAAGCAGACUAGCCCCAAGGAAAACAUAAUAAGAGACACAGGGAUUUUAAAAUACAGAAAUAAAGUGUUUUUUUUAAGUGUUAGAAAAUACAGUAGAUCCAACAAACUUAGAAUUGAAACCCUCAUAGAAGAAAAACCAAACGUCACAACAGAACAAGUGGUUAAAAACACAAUAGAAGAAAAACUAACUCAGCUGAAACUUACAUGUUGAAAGGGCAUCUGUGCCAGGGAAAACUGACCAGAAAGAUCUUAAAGAUUUCCUUUGGACAGCCAGACACCUUCCUAACUACUCCACCCCAAGUCAUUCAUAAAACUUUGAAAUCUGCCUGGCCUUAGAAUUCUGCACAACAUUCAACACGAGUGGAACAACAUUUAUAAGAAAGUAAAGUGCGAGCUAAAGAUUUUAUAUCCAGUCACAUUGUUCUUAAGGAACAAAUAGUAAUCAAAGAAGAAAAAAAAAAGAACCAAAAAAAAAAAAAAAGAAAGAAAAAAAAUAGUACUCAGAAUAAUUGUUUAUGUGAGCCUUCUUGAGGAAAAUACAAGAAUAUAAACUUCAGCUGACAGACUGCUCACACACUGAAUUUAUAUGUAGACGUAAAGACU
Long non-coding RNA from Sapajus apella (tufted capuchin), 733 nucleotides. RefSeq lists it as uncharacterized. NCBI's taxonomy places the organism in Eukaryota, Metazoa, Chordata, Mammalia, Primates, Cebidae. The record is from RefSeq and is a predicted model, not a curated record. The transcript is spliced from 2 exons.